This 255-nucleotide ribosomal RNA is filed under the name uncultured bacterium. Its description in RNAcentral is "partial 16S ribosomal RNA". It matches the Rfam family "Bacterial small subunit ribosomal RNA", at positions 524 to 777 of the family's 1533-position model. The record is from RNAcentral.
UACGAAGGGGGGCUAGCGUUGCUCGGAAUCACUGGGCGUAAAGCGCACGUAGGCGGAUUGCUAAGUCAGGGGUGAAAUCCUGGAGCUCAACUCCAGAACUGCCUUUGAUACUGGCGACCUUGAGUCCGGGAGAGGUGAGUGGAACUGCGAGUGUAGAGGUGAAAUUCGUAGAUAUUCGCAAGAACACCAGUGGCGAAGGCGGCUCACUGGCCCGGUACUGACGCUGAGGUGCGAAAGCGUGGGGAGCAAACAGGG